RNAcentral lists this ribosomal RNA (1253 nucleotides) under Escherichia coli. RNAcentral's name for it is "partial 23S ribosomal RNA". It matches the Rfam family "Bacterial large subunit ribosomal RNA", at positions 1291 to 2529 of the family's 2925-position model. Lineage: Bacteria; Pseudomonadati; Pseudomonadota; Gammaproteobacteria; Enterobacterales; Enterobacteriaceae. The record is from RNAcentral.
CGAAUGCUGACAUAAGUAACGAUAAAGCGGGUGAAAAGCCCGCUCGCCGGAAGACCAAGGGUUCCUGUCCAACGUUAAUCGGGGCAGGGUGAGUCGACCCCUAAGGCGAGGCCGAAAGGCGUAGUCGAUGGGAAACAGGUUAAUAUUCCUGUACUUGGUGUUACUGCGAAGGGGGGACGGAGAAGGCUAUGUUGGCCGGGCGACGGUUGUCCCGGUUUAAGCGUGUAGGCUGGUUUUCCAGGCAAAUCCGGAAAAUCAAGGCUGAGGCGUGAUGACGAGGCACUACGGUGCUGAAGCAACAAAUGCCCUGCUUCCAGGAAAAGCCUCUAAGCAUCAGGUAACAUCAAAUCGUACCCCAAACCGACACAGGUGGUCAGGUAGAGAAUACCAAGGCGCUUGAGAGAACUCGGGUGAAGGAACUAGGCAAAAUGGUGCCGUAACUUCGGGAGAAGGCACGCUGAUAUGUAGGUGAAGUCCCUCGCGGAUGGAGCUGAAAUCAGUCGAAGAUACCAGCUGGCUGCAACUGUUUAUUAAAAACACAGCACUGUGCAAACACGAAAGUGGACGUAUACGGUGUGACGCCUGCCCGGUGCCGGAAGGUUAAUUGAUGGGGUCAGCGCAAGCGAAGCUCUUGAUCGAAGCCCCGGUAAACGGCGGCCGUAACUAUAACGGUCCUAAGGUAGCGAAAUUCCUUGUCGGGUAAGUUCCGACCUGCACGAAUGGCGUAAUGAUGGCCAGGCUGUCUCCACCCGAGACUCAGUGAAAUUGAACUCGCUGUGAAGAUGCAGUGUACCCGCGGCAAGACGGAAAGACCCCGUGAACCUUUACUAUAGCUUGACACUGAACAUUGAGCCUUGAUGUGUAGGAUAGGUGGGAGGCUUUGAAGUGUGGACGCCAGUCUGCAUGGAGCCGACCUUGAAAUACCACCCUUUAAUGUUUGAUGUUCUAACGUGGACCCGUGAUCCGGGUUGCGGACAGUGUCUGGUGGGUAGUUUGACUGGGGCGGUCUCCUCCUAAAGAGUAACGGAGGAGCACGAAGGUUGGCUAAUCCUGGUCGGACAUCAGGAGGUUAGUGCAAUGGCAUAAGCCAGCUUGACUGCGAGCGUGACGGCGCGAGCAGGUGCGAAAGCAGGUCAUAGUGAUCCGGUGGUUCUGAAUGGAAGGGCCAUCGCUCAACGGAUAAAAGGUACUCCGGGGAUAACAGGCUGAUACCGCCCAAGAGUUCAUAUCGACGGCGGUGUUUGGCACCUCGA